UACGAAGGGGGCUAGCGUUGCUCGGAAUGACUGGGCGUAAAGGGCGCGUAGGCGGAUGGCUUUGUCGGGCGUGAAAUUCCAGGGCUUAACCUUGGGGCUGCGUUCGAGACGGGUUGUCUUGAGUGGGGAAGAGGGUCGUGGAAUUCCCAGUGUAGAGGUGAAAUUCGUAGAUAUUGGGAGGAACACCAGUGGCGAAGGCGGCUACCUGGACCAGCAUUGACACUCAAGCACGAAAGCGUGGGGAGCAAACAGG
RNAcentral lists this ribosomal RNA (253 nucleotides) under uncultured bacterium. RNAcentral describes it as "partial 16S ribosomal RNA". It matches the Rfam family "Bacterial small subunit ribosomal RNA", at positions 524 to 776 of the family's 1533-position model. The record is from RNAcentral.